Molecule: ribosomal RNA, 459 nt
Filed under: uncultured bacterium
Lineage: Bacteria
Description: partial 16S ribosomal RNA
Rfam family: Bacterial small subunit ribosomal RNA
Source: RNAcentral
CCUACGGGUGGCAGCAGUGAGGAAUAUUGGUCAAUGGACGGAAGGCUGAACCAGCCAAGCCGCGUGAAGGACGAAGGUGCCAAGCAUUGUAAACUUCUUUUGUCAAGGGACAAAAUCAGGCUCGAGAGCAUGACCGAGGGUACUUGAAGAAAAAGCAACGGCUAACUCCGUGCCAGCAGCCGCGGUAAUACGGGGGAUGCGAGCGUUAUCCGGAUGUAUUGGGUUAAAGGGGUGCGUAGGCGGGCGGUUAAGUAAGCGGUAAAAGCCCGGGGCUCAACCCCGGCGAGCCGUUGAAACUGGGUGUCUUGAGAUGUCGAGGGGUAUGCGGAAUGCGCAGUGUAGCGGUGAAAUGCUUAGAUAUUGCGCAGAACUCCGAUUGCGAAGGCAGCAUACCGGCGGCGAUCUGACGCUGAGGCACGAAAGCGUGGGUAUCGAACAGGAUUAGAUACCCCGGUAGUC